CCCAAAGUGGUGUAAUUGGAAACACGCCAAGGUGACAAUUAGGCUCCUCGCUGAGGACUUAAUCCCUUCGGGGGCGGAGGAGUCCCAGGUUCGAUCCCUGGCUUUGGGA
This 109-nucleotide transfer RNA is filed under the name Xylaria castorea. Its description in RNAcentral is "tRNA-Val". It matches the Rfam family "tRNA". Rfam says of the family: Transfer RNA (tRNA) molecules are approximately 80 nucleotides in length. Their secondary structure includes four short double-helical elements and three loops (D, anti-codon, and T loops). The record is from RNAcentral. Lineage: Eukaryota; Fungi; Ascomycota; Sordariomycetes; Xylariales; Xylariaceae.